RNAcentral lists this ribosomal RNA (1234 nucleotides) under uncultured bacterium. RNAcentral describes it as "bacterial SSU rRNA". It matches the Rfam family "Bacterial small subunit ribosomal RNA", at positions 233 to 1484 of the family's 1533-position model. The record is from RNAcentral.
GCGGGCUAUCAGCUAGUUGGUGAGAUAACAGCCCACCAAGGCAACGAUCAGUAGCCGACCUGAGAGGGUGAUCGGCCACAUUGGGACUGAGACACGGCCCAAACUCCUACGGGAGGCAGCAGUGGGGAAUAUUGCACAAUGGGCGAAAGCCUGAUGCAGCAACGCCGCGUGAAGGAAGAAGGGUUUCGGCUCGUAAACUUCUAUCAACAGGGACGAAAAAAAUGACGGUACCUGAAUAAGAAGCCCCGGCUAACUACGUGCCAGCAGCCGCGGUAAUACGUAGGGGGCAAGCGUUAUCCGGAAUUACUGGGUGUAAAGGGAGAGUAGGCGGCAUGGUAAGUUAGAUGUGAAAGCCCGAGGCUUAACCUCGGGAUUGCAUUUAAAACUAUCAAGCUAGAGUACAGGAGAGGUAAGUGGAAUUCCUAGUGUAGCGGUGAAAUGCGUAGAUAUUAGGAAGAACACCAGUGGCGAAGGCGACUUACUGGACUGAAACUGACGCUGAGGCUCGAAAGCGUGGGGAGCGAACAGGAUUAGAUACCCUGGUAGUCCACGCCGUAAACGAUGAGUGCUAGGUGUCGGGGGGGAACCCUCGGUGCCGCAGCUAACGCAAUAAGCACUCCACCUGGGGAGUACGAUCGCAAGAUUGAAACUCAAAGGAAUUGACGGGGGCCCGCACAAGCGGUGGAGCAUGUGGUUUAAUUCGAAGCAACGCGAAGAACCUUACCAAGGCUUGACAUCCCUCUGACCGGUGUAGAGAUACACCUUCUCUUCGGAGCAGAGGUGACAGGUGGUGCGUGGUUGUCGUCAGCUCGUGUCGUGAGAUGUUGGGUUAAGUCCCGCAACGAGCGCAACCCCUAUUCUUAGUAGCCAUCAUUCAGUUGGGCACUCUAGGGAGACUGCCGUGGAUAACACGGAGGAAGGUGGGGAUGACGUCAAAUCAUCAUGCCCCUUAUGUCUUGGGCUACACACGUGCUACAAUGGCUGGUAACAAAGUGACGCAAAACGGCGACGUCGAGCAAAUCACAAAAACCCAGUCCCAGUUCGGAUUGUAGUCUGCAACUCGACUACAUGAAGCUGGAAUCGCUAGUAAUCGCGAAUCAGAAUGUCGCGGUGAGUACGUUCCCGGGCCUUGUACACACCGCCCGUCACACCAUGGGAGUUGGAAGCACCCGAAGUCGGUGACCUGACCGUAAGGAAGGAGCCGCCGAAGGUGAAGCCAGCGACUGGGGGUGAA